UUCGGAGCCUCAAAGGGCGAGCGUGAGAGAGGAGCAAAAAUACAAACAAGUGGCCAAUUUAUAAGAGAACUAAAAUGAUAAAUUCCUAGCUAUAUACUCCUACGCUCCAUCGCUAAAUCACAAAGUACAUAAAAUAAAAAAGACUGGGUAUUGGCUACUGAUAAUGAAGAUCGCCCCAACAUUUCAGGCCGCCAAACAUGACAGUAGAACUCCUGCUCUCGCACUCAUAAAUCACACACGCAAUACUCACUAAUUCUGUAUGGGAUUGGACUUGGUGCCCGGCGUCUGCUUGUCGCUUCCUUCUGCUGCUGCAUGGAAGGCCUGUUGAUGCUCCGACCUUGCGAGCACAUUGCUUUGCAGAAGCUUCCUUGUAACGAGCAUCUCCUCUCUUGAUGCUCUAUCACCGAAAGGCAUUGCUGUCAGAUAGCAAAAAUGCAGAAGUAGCAAGGCGGAGAAGAAGCAAGCACAGAAGCUGGCACCUCGCAUGGCUGCGUUUAGCGAGCACUGAUUACAGUGGAGAAGCGAUAGAUGGGUGCUCGAGUCCGUCCACAUAUAUAUGCCCCAUAUGAUGUGAUGCCGGUGCAAUCAGCGGUGCGAGAUCCGGUCGUGAUAGGGAGAUCUGGGGCCUGAUGAUUGUUAUGAUAGCAUGUGAUUUGCGC
RNAcentral lists this long non-coding RNA (659 nucleotides) under Triticum aestivum (bread wheat). RNAcentral's name for it is "long non-coding RNA (TAES_LNC026050)". Lineage: Eukaryota; Viridiplantae; Streptophyta; Magnoliopsida; Poales; Poaceae. The record is from RNAcentral.